RNAcentral lists this ribosomal RNA (460 nucleotides) under uncultured bacterium. RNAcentral's name for it is "partial 16S ribosomal RNA". It matches the Rfam family "Bacterial small subunit ribosomal RNA", at positions 338 to 795 of the family's 1533-position model. The record is from RNAcentral.
CCUACGGGAGGCAGCAGUGAGGAAUAUUGGUCAAUGGGCGUGAGCCUGAACCAGCCAAGUCGCGUGAGGGAUGAAGGCUCUAUGGAUUGUAAACCUCUUUUAUAAGGGAAUAAAGUGAGGCACGUGUCCCGUUUUGUAUGUACUUUAUGAAUAAGGAUCGGCUAACUCCGUGCCAGCAGCCGCGGUAAUACGGAGGAUCCGAGCGUUAUCCGGAUUUAUUGGGUUUAAAGGGUGCGUAGGUGGCCUGUUAAGUCAGUGGUGAAAGUUUGUGGCUCAACCGUAGAAUUGCAGUUGAAACUGGGAGGCUUGAGUAUGUUUGAGGUAGGCGGAAUUCGUGGUGUAGCGGUGAAAUGCUUAGAUAUCACGCAGAACCCCGAUUGCGAAGGCAGCCUGCCAAGCUAUGACUGACGCUGAUGCACGAAAGUGUGGGUAUCAAACAGGAUUAGAUACCCGGGUAGUC